Molecule: ribosomal RNA, 460 nt
Filed under: uncultured bacterium
Lineage: Bacteria
Description: partial 16S ribosomal RNA
Rfam family: Bacterial small subunit ribosomal RNA
Source: RNAcentral
CCUACGGGAGGCAGCAGGGAGGAAUAUUGGUCAAUGGACGAGAGUCUGAACCAGCCAAGUAGCGUGAAGGAUGACUGCCCUAUGGGUUGUAAACUUCUUUUAUAUGGGAAUAAAAUGUUCCACGUGUGGGAUUUUGUAUGUACCAUAUGAAUAAGGAUCGGCUAACUCCGUGCCAGCAGCCGCGGUAAUACGGAGGAUCCGAGCGUUAUCCGGAUUUAUUGGGUUUAAAGGGAGCGUAGGUGGAUUGUUAAGUCAGUUGUGAAAGUUUGCGACUCAACCGUAAAAUUGCAGUUGAAACUGGCAGUCUUGAGUACAGUAGAGGUGGGCGGAAUUCGUGGUGUAGCGGUGAAAUGCUUAGAUAUCACGAAGAACUCCGAUUGCGAAGGCAGUUCACUGGACUGCAACUGACACUGAGGCUCGAAAGUGUGGGUAUCAAACAGGAUUAGAUACCCUUGUAGUC